Molecule: transfer RNA, 76 nt
Filed under: Butyricicoccus faecihominis
Lineage: Bacteria; Bacillati; Bacillota; Clostridia; Eubacteriales; Butyricicoccaceae
Also listed under: 1 other name
Description: tRNA-Pro
Rfam family: tRNA
About the family: Transfer RNA (tRNA) molecules are approximately 80 nucleotides in length.
Source: RNAcentral
CGAGGUGUAGCUCAGCUGGUAGAGUGCUUGUUUUGGGAACAAGAUGCCGCAGGUUCGAGCCCUGUCACUUCGACCA